GUCGAGCGGACAGAAGGGAGCUUGCUCCCGGAUGUUAGCGGCGGACGGGUGAGUAACACGUGGGUAACCUGCCUGUAAGACUGGGAUAACUCCGGGAAACCGGAGCUAAUACCGGAUAGUUCCUUGAACCGCAUGGUUCAAGGAUGAAAGACGGUUUCGGCUGUCACUUACAGAUGGACCCGCGGCGCAUUAGCUAGUUGGUGGGGUAAUGGCUCACCAAGGCGACGAUGCGUAGCCGACCUGAGAGGGUGAUCGGCCACACUGGGACUGAGACACGGCCCAGACUCCUACGGGAGGCAGCAGUAGGGAAUCUUCCGCAAUGGACGAAAGUCUGACGGAGCAACGCCGCGUGAGUGAUGAAGGUUUUCGGAUCGUAAAGCUCUGUUGUUAGGGAAGAACAAGUGCGAGAGUAACUGCUCGCACCUUGACGGUACCUAACCAGAAAGCCACGGCUAACUACGUGCCAGCAGCCGCGGUAAUACGUAGGUGGCAAGCGUUGUCCGGAAUUAUUGGGCGUAAAGGGCUCGCAGGCGGUUUCUUAAGUCUGAUGUGAAAGCCCCCGGCUCAACCGGGGAGGGUCAUUGGAAACUGGGAAACUUGAGUGCAGAAGAGGAGAGUGGAAUUCCACGUGUAGCGGUGAAAUGCGUAGAGAUGUGGAGGAACACCAGUGGCGAAGGCGACUCUCUGGUCUGUAACUGACGCUGAGGAGCGAAAGCGUGGGGAGCGAACAGGAUUAGAUACCCUGGUAGUCCACGCCGUAAACGAUGAGUGCUAAGUGUUAGGGGGUUUCCGCCCCUUAGUGCUGCAGCUAACGCAUUAAGCACUCCGCCUGGGGAGUACGGUCGCAAGACUGAAACUCAAAGGAAUUGACGGGGGCCCGCACAAGCGGUGGAGCAUGUGGUUUAAUUCGAA
This 912-nucleotide ribosomal RNA is filed under the name Bacillus zhangzhouensis. RNAcentral describes it as "bacterial SSU rRNA". It matches the Rfam family "Bacterial small subunit ribosomal RNA", at positions 61 to 955 of the family's 1533-position model. Lineage: Bacteria; Bacillati; Bacillota; Bacilli; Caryophanales; Bacillaceae. The record is from RNAcentral.